GUGAACGCUGGCGGUAGGCCUAACCCAUGCAAGUCGAACGGCAGCACAGUAAGAGCUUGCUCUUACGGGUGGCGAGUGGCGGACGGGUGAGGAAUACAUCGGAAUCUACUUUUUCGUGGGGGAUAACGUAGGGAAACUUACGCUAAUACCGCAUACGACCUACGGGUGAAAGCAGGGGAUCUUCGGACCUUGCGCGAUUGAAUGAGCCGAUGUCGGAUUAGCUAGUUGGCGGGGUAAAGGCCCACCAAGGCGACGAUCCGUAGCUGGUCUGAGAGGAUGAUCAGCCACACUGGAACUGAGACACGGUCCAGACUCCUACGGGAGGCAGCAGUGGGGAAUAUUGGACAAUGGGCGCAAGCCUGAUCCAGCCAUACCGCGUGGGUGAAGAAGGCCUUCGGGUUGUAAAGCCCCUUUGUUGGGAAAGAAAAGCAGCAGGUUAAUACCCCGCUGUUCUGACGGUACCCAAAGAAUAAGCACCGGCUAACUUCGUG
This 491-nucleotide ribosomal RNA is filed under the name uncultured bacterium. RNAcentral's name for it is "partial 16S ribosomal RNA". It matches the Rfam family "Bacterial small subunit ribosomal RNA", at positions 29 to 507 of the family's 1533-position model. The record is from RNAcentral.